AGAAUCAACGCUGGCGGCGUGCCUAACACAUGCAAGUCGAACGAGAAAGUGGAGCAAUCCAUGAGUAAAGUGGCGACCGGGUGAGUAACACGUGACCAAUCUACCCUUGAGUGGGGGAUAACCUCGGGAAACCGGGGCUAAUACCGCAUAAUAUCCUUGGAACGGAAGUACUGGGGAUCAAAGGAGCAAUUCGCUUAAGGAGGAGGUCGCGGCUGAUUAGCUAGUUGGCGGGGUAAUGGCCCACCAAGGCUUAGAUCGGUAGCCGGCCUGAGAGGGCGCACGGCCACACUGGAACUGAAACACGGUCCAGACUCCUACGGGAGGCAGCAGUGGGGAAUUUUGCGCAAUGGGGGAAACCCUGACGCAGCAACGCCGCGUGGAGGAUGAAGUCCCUUGGGACGUAAACUCCUUUCGACCCGGACGAUAAUGACGGUACGGGUGGAAGAAGCCCCGGCUAACUUCGCGCCAGCAGCCGC
This 476-nucleotide ribosomal RNA is filed under the name uncultured bacterium. RNAcentral describes it as "SSU rRNA". It matches the Rfam family "Bacterial small subunit ribosomal RNA", at positions 26 to 518 of the family's 1533-position model. The record is from RNAcentral.